GGCCAUAUGACUAGUGCUGACCAAUGGACUGUGAACAGAAAUGACAGCAUCACUCCCAUGGAACCUCCUCCAUCUCUGUCUUCCCUGUUGUGACAAUCUCAGAGGCUACAUUCUUUCAAUGGCUGGGCUACAAGAUGGGGAAAGGCUGCCCAACCUGACACAGCAAGAAGGCGGCCAUCUGCAAACCAGAAAGAGAGCCCUCACCAGGAACCGGAUCUGCUGGCACCUUGAUCUUGGACUUCCCAGCCUUUAGAGCUGUGAGAAAUGUCACCCCCAGGUCAAUGGGAUAUUUGUUACAGCACCAGGUACUGCCUGAGAACUCUACCUUUAGGGAGCCUGCAUGCUGGGUCCCUGCGGAGACAAUGAAGGUGCUUGACACCGUUUCAAUAUUGGGUCACUGCAAGGCUGACUGCUGCUGAAGGACAGCCAGUGAGAGGUCAUGGCAAGCCAUCAGAAGAAGCAGAAGUCAUGAGCAGGCUGAAGCUAUGAGGCCAAGACAAAAUGACACAUUGCCACAAGAAGAGGGACAAACAGGCAACAGGCAGAGCCCAUGGGAAUCAGUAAUCUCUUGCUGCCACUGAGGCCUUGGGACUAACUCAGAUCCAGUACUACUCUCUUGGGGCCUAUUCUGACUCCAGCACCUGUCCUUGGGGUCCCCUGAGAUCCCUGUAGCCUUGUAAUAAGCCCACAUUAUCAUAUUUCCCCUGCUGGCUCCACGCUAGAGCAUUUCCAACAAUUUCCAGUGCUUUUUUCCUUCUCACACCACUGGGCCUUUGCAUGUGCUAGUGCCUCCCCAACUUGCCCUGCCUUCUCCUUCACCCAGACAACUCCUACUAAAUCUCUCAGACUCCUCAGCUGUGUCCCUUCCUAGGGGAAGACUCUCCUCCCUCCAGUGAGCCCGGUGGUCCUCCCUGGGAUACCCUGCUCCUUGUCUUCCCUGCCGUCCUUACUGCCGUCCUUGUUCUCUACUCAGAAGGAGGCAGAGGCUGGCCUGCCCCCACUCCCCUGUAGACUGACCAGAUGAAUUGACCUGGGCUGGGCAGGGCAGGCAUGUUUGACCAAUUGUCUGGGCACCCCGUGGCUCAGUCAAGUUGACACAUAAAGUUCACUGCCCCAGGGCCCCUUCGUUGUAUUUGUCUAUGAAUAAAAAACAGCAUCAACUCCAGGUAUCUGAGGGUUCUGGAGGCAGGUUCUGUGAUCCCUUUUUACAGAUGAGGAUGCGGAGAUCCAGUUGUCACUCACCCAGAUCACACUUUCAUCUGCUGAUGGAAGGAGUAUUUGAUGGGAUGUGUGAGCCCGGCCGUCUCCCUCGGGACACAUCGGCUCAGUAAAUUUGCCAGCCCCUGCCUGAAAAAGUAUUUAAUUUGUCUUUUACAAUGCACCCAUUGCAAGCUAAUUAACUGGCAAUUGAAAGUUAUAGGUGGCAUUAGAAUUUAUUAAUAACAUUGGAAAUAAAUCUCCCUGGAAUUCAAUUAACUGAAAA
Molecule: long non-coding RNA, 1483 nt
Filed under: Pongo abelii (Sumatran orangutan)
Lineage: Eukaryota; Metazoa; Chordata; Mammalia; Primates; Hominidae
Description: lincRNA
Source: RNAcentral